GCCCAGGUGUUGAAAUUGGUAGACAAGCACCCUUGAGGUGGGUGUGCCGUAAGGUGUGGAGGUUCGAGUCCUCUCCUGGGCACCA
This 85-nucleotide transfer RNA is filed under the name Patescibacteria group bacterium. RNAcentral's name for it is "tRNA-Leu". It matches the Rfam family "tRNA". Rfam says of the family: Transfer RNA (tRNA) molecules are approximately 80 nucleotides in length. The record is from RNAcentral. RNAcentral also lists the same sequence under 2 other names.